RNAcentral lists this ribosomal RNA (433 nucleotides) under uncultured bacterium. RNAcentral describes it as "partial 16S ribosomal RNA". It matches the Rfam family "Bacterial small subunit ribosomal RNA", at positions 29 to 507 of the family's 1533-position model. The record is from RNAcentral.
AACGAACGCUGGCGGCAGGCCUAACACAUGCAAGUCGAGCGGACCCUUCGGGGUUAGCGGCGGACGGGUGAGUAACGCGUGGGAACGUGCCCUUUGCUUCGGAAUAGCCCUGGGAAACUGGGAGUAAUACCGGAUACGCCCUUUUGGGGAAAGAUUCAUCGUCGAAGGAUCGGCCCGCGUUGGUUUAGGUAGGUGGGGGGGUAAUGGCCUAUCAAGCCGACGAUCCAUAGCUGGUUUGAGAGGAUGAUCAGCCACACUGGGACUGAGACACGGCGGAGACUCCUACGGGAGGCGGGAGUGGCGGAUCUUAGCCAAUCGGGGAAAUGAUGAACUAGCCAGGCCGCGUGAGCGAUGAAGGCCUGAGGGUUGUAAAGCACUUUCACCCGGCAAGAUUAUGACGGUACCCAAAGAAGAAGCACCGGCUAACUUCGUG